Molecule: long non-coding RNA, 826 nt
Organism: Hippoglossus stenolepis (Pacific halibut)
Lineage: Eukaryota; Metazoa; Chordata; Actinopteri; Pleuronectiformes; Pleuronectidae
Exons: 3
Source: RefSeq, a predicted model, not a curated record
UGCCAGAAAAAGAAGGAUUGGCAAAUAGCAGUAGUGACAGUGAAGCUGAUGAUUCUGAGGGAGCUGAGGAUGCAGAGAGAGCUGAGGAUGCAGAGAGCUAAGGAUGCAGAGAGCUGAAGAUGCAGGAGGCUGAGUGUGUCUCAUAGCAUUCAGGUUGCUCAGCGGAGGCGUGGCCAGGAACAGCUCACCACUUCACCUGCAGCUCAUUCUGCCACCACCUGCAAACUAUUGGUCAUCACUUGCAGUAUAUCUACCCUGGUCACUCCAGAUGCCCACUGAUCGCCAGAUCGUUGCCUACAAUCUGGCUUGGACUACUGUCAUAGUGUGGAUAACUACACUCCGGUUUGACUUCCUACCUACCUCACCUGCCAAAUCUCCGAGCUAAUCCUUAGCCUCAACCCUGCCUUAUUCCACUCCCUGCUUCGGUAGAACAAUAAACUCCUUGCACAGAAGAACUGUGUUGUGGUGUGUCUCAGCUCUGGGAUGCAAAUACAACAACGUAACAAUACAGAGCACCAAGAAAGAGUGACGUGGGAGUCAUUUUUUAAGCAUAUGGCCGAAGAUUUGACAUAAAAUAUAUGUCAUAAUUUUUUUUUAUUUGCAGUAAGGAAAGCUUAAUUACAGGAUUUUUUAUGUAAUGAAUUAUUUUAUCGUGUGCCAUUGCUACAGUGUUUUUACUUGAUAAAUGUUUUGAAUGUCAUCCACCACUGAAAACAGACAUAACAUGAAAUGAUAAUUUCACAAUAAUGUGGUACCACAACAUCAAGAUGAUUUCAGGAUGUGCUCAUGAAGAUUUUGUUCAUUAAAACUGUGGAUUCUGCAUGUA